GAAUGCGGAGCGCAUUCGUUUAGGCAAAGUUGUUGAAAGCCUGCAGGCAGAGGUUCAGGCCCGGGAGGUCGCGGUUACGGACCUUACUGCCCGCGUGUCUGCUGCGGAAAAGCGGGCUGACGCUGCUGCUGAGGCCAAGGAUGCCUUGGUGUCCUCUUUUAACCAGCUGGAAGCUGACCGUGAGUGGUUGCGGACUCAUGGCAUCGCGCGUAUUGUCGAGGCUAUCAUGAACGCCCCUGAGACCGCAUCUGGUUUGGACCUGGUUAAGGAGCGUGCGCGCGAUGCUGGCUUCAAUGCUGGUUAUAACCGCUGCAUUGGGCAUAUCAAUGUUUUAUCCGCAGGCGGUUAUACUGAUC
RNAcentral lists this long non-coding RNA (356 nucleotides) under Helianthus annuus (common sunflower). Its description in RNAcentral is "sRNA HanXRQr2_Chr11g0483911". Lineage: Eukaryota; Viridiplantae; Streptophyta; Magnoliopsida; Asterales; Asteraceae. The record is from RNAcentral.